This 449-nucleotide ribosomal RNA is filed under the name uncultured bacterium. RNAcentral describes it as "bacterial SSU rRNA". It matches the Rfam family "Bacterial small subunit ribosomal RNA", at positions 29 to 506 of the family's 1533-position model. The record is from RNAcentral.
ACUAACGCUGGCGGCGUGCCUAACACAUGCAAGUCGAACGAGGUAGCAAUACCUAGUGGCAGACGGGUGAGUAACGCGUAGACAAUGUGCCCUCUUGCGGGGGAUACCGUUCCGAAAGGAACGUUAAUACCGCAUAACACGGUUUAGAGGCAUCUCUAGAUCGUCAAACUUCCGGGGCGGGAGGAGCAGUCUGCGUUCUAUCAGCUAGUUGGUGAGGUAAUGGCUCACCAAGGCUCCGACGGAUAACUGGUCUGAGAGGAUGAUCAGUCACACUGGAACUGAGACACGGUCCAGACUCCUACGGGAGGCAGCAGUGAGGAAUAUUGCGCAAUGGGGGAAACCCUGACGCAGCGACGCCGCGUGGAGGAAGAAGGUUUUCGGAUUGUAAACUCCUGUCAGUGGGGAAGAGAACGGACGGUACCCACUGAGGAAGCUUCGGCUAACUACGU